RNAcentral lists this ribosomal RNA (723 nucleotides) under uncultured Fusobacterium sp. Its description in RNAcentral is "bacterial SSU rRNA". It matches the Rfam family "Bacterial small subunit ribosomal RNA", at positions 28 to 763 of the family's 1533-position model. Lineage: Bacteria; Fusobacteriati; Fusobacteriota; Fusobacteriia; Fusobacteriales; Fusobacteriaceae. The record is from RNAcentral.
GAUGAACGCUGACAGAAUGCUUAACACAUGCAAGUCUACUUGAAUUUGGGUUUUUUAACUUCGAUUUGGGUGGCGGACGGGUGAGUAACGCGUAAAGAACUUGCCUCACAGCUAGGGACAACAUUUGGAAACGAAUGCUAAUACCUGAUAUUAUGAUUAUAGGGCAUCCUAGAAUUAUGAAAGCUAUAUGCGCUGUGAGAGAGCUUUGCGUCCCAUUAGCUAGUUGGAGAGGUAACGGCUCACCAAGGCGAUGAUGGGUAGCCGGCCUGAGAGGGUGAACGGCCACAAGGGGACUGAGACACGGCCCUUACUCCUACGGGAGGCAGCAGUGGGGAAUAUUGGACAAUGGACCGAGAGUCUGAUCCAGCAAUUCUGUGUGCACGAUGACGUUUUUCGGAAUGUAAAGUGCUUUCAGUUGGGAAGAAAAAAAUGACGGUACUAACAGAAGAAGUGACGGCUAAAUACGUGCCAGCAGCCGCGGUAAUACGUAUGUCACGAGCGUUAUCCGGAUUUAUUGGGCGUAAAGCGCGUCUAGGUGGUUAUGUAAGUCUGAUGUGAAAAUGCAGGGCUCAACUCUGUAUUGCGUUGGAAACUGUGUAACUAGAGUACUGGAGAGGUAAGCGGAACUACAAGUGUAGAGGUGAAAUUCGUAGAUAUUUGUAGGAAUGCCGAUGGGGAAGCCAGCUUACUGGACAGAUACUGACGCUGAAGCGCGAAAGCGUG